AGAGUUUGAUCCUGGCUCAGGAUAAACGCUGGCGGCGUGCCUAACACAUGCAAGUCGAACGCCUGCCAUCAGGCAGGGAGUGGCGGACGGGUGAGUAACACAUGGGAACCUACCCACCAGUGAGGGAUACCGGCGCGAAAGCGCCGACAAGCCCGCAUACGCUUCCUCCUGCGGGGGGAAGGAAAGCUCUUUCGGGGGCG
Molecule: ribosomal RNA, 200 nt
Filed under: uncultured bacterium
Lineage: Bacteria
Description: partial 16S ribosomal RNA
Rfam family: Bacterial small subunit ribosomal RNA
Source: RNAcentral